AGUUUAGGACCCUGGGUUGGUGGGGUCAGGAGGAGCUGGGGGCAACUUGCUUCGGGACAGCUGGGCCUGCUGGGGUGCUGGGCGCCUUGUGUGUGGCCCCCAGAACAGUGAGUUCCUCCCCGGGGGUAGGGAGCCGAGGGCUGCGGGCAGGAGGAGUGGCCACUGCAGCACCCAGGCUGCAGUGUACGCCCGGAGAGGGAUCCCGCGGCUGCGAGGGGCCGAGGCCCAGCGUCUCCCCGCCGCACCGGCCACCGCGCCGCCCUCGCCUCCCUCGCCUGCCGGGUCCCUUAAAGGAGCUUGUUGAUCUGGCCUCCUGGAACUUCAUCCCACAGUGCACCCAGCGUCUGCCCCUUGCCAACGGUUCUUAAAGCUAAGCUGCAGGCAGUGCGUUUUCUUUGGAAGAUUUUCUAAUCUAAAGCAUGGCCCCAUCCUAAGCCCCUCUGCUUCUAGGACAGUGCAAACAGCCCUUCUCUGUGGCGUGACAUCUAAGGGACAGCCUUGUAAUACCAUUUCUGGCCUGUAGACCGUUUGCUUAACCGACUGAGCCACCCAGGUGCCCUUCCCUGUGUACCAUUUGCUACCGUUUUGCUGAGCCAGUGUUGGGGGCCCCUACUACCAGAGUUAAGAGUUUCUUAGCAGGGAAAAUGGUGCACGGGUUUCUGUUCCCCAGCCUCUUACUUCGUUUGUAAAGACCUUGGUGGAAAUCUGUAACUCAGACAGCAAAACAUACUACUCCAUUUGAACAAUUUUUCCUUUUAGGUGUAUGGGGUGCCCCCCUCCCCUACUCAAACGCUAGGGCUAUUUGUAAUUCAGACUAGUUUCACCUCUUCCUGUAACAAAUCCCUGGUUGCUGAGGACGCUUAGAGAAUGCUCCUCUGUUUGGUAUCCUGUCUAGAGAUAUAAAUCUAAAAAAAAAAAAAAAACAAACACCGUGUUUUCCAAAAUAAAGGUCCUCUUUGAGAUUGUGGUUUGGGAUCACACCUAGCUCUGCUUCCUGCUCUAGUUUUAUUGUAAUAGGAUUUUUGACCCCUAACUUGGCUGUGCCCACCACUGAUGGAGCAAGAGCAAAAACUGUUGGUCUCAGAUUCUAGUGGCUUCACGGAGAGGGAGAGUUUGAAAAGCCCUUUUCCAGGAGAUGCAAGUAAGAAUCAUUUGGAAACUGUACAACACAAUAACUCCAAGGCGGAUAAAGAGAGCGCCUCAAAACGGUCUAAGAGAGAUGGACCACAAAAUUGUAAGCAUGAGGAUAUAGAAGAAAGUCCAUUGAUGUGGUCCCAAGGCAAUGAGAUCUGGUGCAGUGAUUCCUAUGAGAAGGAUGGCAAGUCGGAGAAUCAGGGAAAUUCUGCAGGAGAAGAAGAAGAAAAACCCAGUCACUGGGGAUGGGCUCCCGGGGAACGCCGCAGUGCCUCUGUCCAGCAGAAUUCGACCUCCAGGGACAAACCCUACAAGUGUGCUGAAUGUUGGAAAAGCUUCAAUAACAGCUCUCAUUUGCGUAUUCACCAGAGGACCCACUCAGGAGAAAAACCUUAUAAAUGCUCUGAGUGUGGGAAAUGCUUCAGUAACAGCUCUCACCUGAUUCAGCACCUGAGAACACACACAGGAGAGAAGCCCUACCAGUGUGGCAAGUGUGGGAAAAGCUUCAGCAAUACCUCCCAUCUAAUCAUUCACGAGAGGACUCACACGGGAGAGAAACCCUAUAAAUGUCCCGAGUGUGGGAAGAGCUUUAGUAGCAGCUCCCACCUUAUUCAGCACCACAGGUCGCAUACCGGCGAGAAGCCCUACGAAUGUCCCGUGUGUGGGAAAUGCUUCAGCCACAGCUAUGUCCUCAUAGAACAUCAGAGGAUUCACACGGGAGAAAAACCUUAUAUGUGUCCUGACUGUGGAAAGAGUUUUAGUCAGAGUUCUAGCCUGAUUCGCCACCAGCGGACACACACGGGAGAGAAGCCCUACAAAUGUCUCGAGUGCGGGAAAAGCUUUGGUUGUAAUUCGACUCUCAUAAAGCACCAGAGGAUUCACACAGGAGAAAAACCGUAUCAGUGUACAGAAUGCGGCAAGAGCUUCAGUCGAAGUUCGAACCUAAUCGCACACCGGAAAACACACGCAGGAGAGAAGCCCUGUGAAAGUCCCGAAUAUGAAGAAAGUUUGAGUCGGAACUGCAGUGCGAUAGAAGAGUGUGGACUCCAGCCUGGGGAGAAACCCUACAAGUGUUGUGAGUGCGGAAAGCGUUUCGGUCUCAGCUCCCAUCUCAUUAGACACCAGAGAACACACACAGGAGAGAAGCCGUACAGGUGUUCGGAGUGUUGGAAAACUUUCAGUCAGAGUUCCACCCUGGUGAUUCACCAGAGGACGCACACGGGAGAGAGACCUUAUAAGUGUCCCGACUGUGGCGAAGGCUUCAGCCAGAGCUUUAAUCUCAUCAGGCACCGGAGGACUCACGUGGGCGAGAAACCUUACAAAUGCACCGACUGUGACAAGUGCUUCAGCAGAAGUGCCUAUCUCACUCAGCAUCGGAAGAUGCACCUAGAAAAGUCUUUCGAGUCUCCUGAAGUCAAUGAUUUUCCUCCUGGGUGGACUUGGAAAAACUGUCCAGGGGAAAUGACGCUCAUCUCUUCCUUUUCAGUCCCACGUCCAUCUUCCUCUUGAGUCCCAAAGCCCGUUUAUUAUUACUAUUAUUAUUAUUAUUAUUAUUAUUUCUUUUCUUGCUGGAUCAUUACAAUUAAGGUGUUGCUACAGAGUUUUUUUGGUUUGUUUGCCAUAAUAUCUGGAAAAAGUCAAGCUCCCAGGUUGGAGGAUGGGAAGGCCCUGAUCACCAGCUCAUUGUAUCUGCCCAGUGGGAGAUGCUUCCAACGAUGGAGAAGAAAUGUUUUUUGAUUUAAGUUGAGAGUCACUUUGGGAUGAGUGAUUCUAAGAACUGUUUGGAUUUUUCCUCGCGCGGCCUCAGGCCUGAUUCCAGUAGAGGGCGCUGGAAGCUGCUCGGAGACCCAGGGAUGUGGCCUGAGGCCCAGAGCCUGGGAGAACCCAGAGGAAAACUGGUUGAUGAACCGGCUGGCUACUUAGCUCAGUGUCUCCUGUCACCUGGUUCAGACAAUGAAGUGCACCCCAAAUCUAGGAGACGAAGGUAAAUUCAGGUUUGGUAAAUGGAGAAGUAUCUUUGUGUUUGUAAAAUUGAUGCUGAGGAAAAAACACAUUGGAAACUUAGGAAGAUACCAAGUUAUACUGCUCAGAAGACUAGAAUCCUCAUCUUUCCCAUCCUGCUGUCAUCACUAAUUCAGUGAAAAACUUGUCAGCUGCAAGGAUUGAUGUUUUACUAAGGGAAAAAAACAGCCAUACUGCGGGGGUUGGGGGAUGUAAGGUGUGGUCAUUGCCAUUACCAGAGGUUAUACCUGGUUACUCCUAAUUCUUCAGACCUCAGCUUAAACGUAACCUCCUCUGGUAGGCACUCCUUGACCCCUAGGCCAGUUUAUAACUUGCUACCCUCCAGUGCCACAUGUACUUGCUCGUUUUUGGACACGUAUCACAUCCUUAAUUACCUGUAUGCUGCUGUCUUCUCUGUUAAACUCCGAACCCCCAAAUGACAAGUACUAUGUCUGUUCAGUGCUUUACUCUCAACACCAAGCACAGUGCCUGACACAAAGUAGACACUUGAUCCCCAUGUAUUACAUUGAAUUACAUUGAUGUAUACUCCUUUUAAGUUUAUUUUGAGAGAGAAAGAGUGCAAGCAGGGGAAGGGCAGAAAGAGUG
Leopardus geoffroyi (Geoffroy's cat) is the source of this 3741-nucleotide RNA transcript. It is a transcript of the gene named zinc finger protein 572, with no coding region annotated. The record is from RefSeq and is a predicted model, not a curated record. NCBI's taxonomy places the organism in Eukaryota, Metazoa, Chordata, Mammalia, Carnivora, Felidae. The transcript has 4 exons.